Molecule: transfer RNA, 65 nt
Filed under: Pelodiscus sinensis (Chinese soft-shelled turtle)
Lineage: Eukaryota; Metazoa; Chordata; Testudines; Trionychidae
Rfam family: tRNA
About the family: Transfer RNA (tRNA) molecules are approximately 80 nucleotides in length. Their secondary structure includes four short double-helical elements and three loops (D, anti-codon, and T loops).
Source: Rfam by way of RNAcentral
AGGACCCUGGCUAAAGCACCUGUCUCGUGAACAGGAGAUCCUGGGUUCAACUCCCAGUGGUGCCU